CUAAGAAAGAAUUUAAUUUUGGUUCAGACUGAACGUUGUCCAGUUGUUUUAAGGCAUGCAAAUCGUUAUUAACUUCGGUUAAUAAGGUGUACGGGUGAGUAAUAAUAAAUAAGAUACCCAACAGACUUCGGUAAUAGAGGAUAGUUCUUUUUUUUUGUUUAGAAAUUAAGAAUAAAGGGACUUCAUUUAUGUUAUCUAAAAAUUUUUUCAAUUAUUUAGAAAUAUAAUUCCUACUGUAGGAUUCUAUUUAUCUUGAAUAGGUAGUUGAUAGGGUAAUGGCCUACCAAGCCUACGAUCAAUAGCCAGCUUGAAAGAGGGAUUGGCCACAUUGGGUCUGAGAUUUACCCAAGUAGUGCAUAACUACCAGCAGCCGAGAAUAUUUGUCAAUGCUCGCAAGAGUGAACAAGCCAACUGGAAUCACAACAACUUGUGAUAAAGUAAGGGAGGAUAAUGACGUUACCUUACUAUUAGUGUCGUCUAAAAUUGGUGCCAGAAGACUCGGUAAUACCAAAUACACAAACGUUAGUCAUCAUGAAUAGGCGUAAAGGGUUUGUAGGCUGCUCAUAAAAUUUAUAUAAUAAGAGCUAGAAUCAAAUAGAGGUCAAUAUCAUACCUAGUGAAAGAAUUAAAUCUGUAAAUAUUAGGGGGAAUACUAGAAGCGAAGGCGAUUUUCCAUUUAAUGAUUGACGCUGAGACACGAAGGUUGGGGCAGGAAAUAGGAUUAGAUACCCUAGCACUCCCAACUGUAAACGAUGAAUGGUAGGUGUUAAUUAUAUUAAAAUUAGUACCGAUGUGAACACGCUAACCAUUCCGCCUUGUGAGUAUACUUGCAAAAGUGAAAACAAAAAAAUUAGUCGGCCCCGAAGCAAACGAAGUGAAGCAUGUUGUUUAAUACGAUAAUCCGCGUAAAAUCUUACCAUGGCUUGAAUAUAACUUUUCUAAGAAUAUUUCACGUAAAAAUAUUCAUUUGUUAAAAAUAAUUCUAAUUUUGAUCAAAAAUCAAACUGUGAAGAAUGAUUAACGGAGAAAAGGAAUAAUUACUAUUAUUCAUUUACAGGUGUUGCAUGGCUGUCGUCGGUUCGUAUCGUGAGAUGUUUGGUUAAUUCCGCUAACGAACGCAAUCCCUAUUGUUAAUUUAUACUUAACACUGGCUUACCCUAAAAAAGGGAAGUUGUUUGGGGCUAUGACAAGCCGUUAUGACCCUUAUGCCGUGGGCUAUAGACGUGCCACAAAAACUUUAACAAUAUGAAGCAAUCCAUCGCCAAGUCUCGAGUAAUUUCUGGUAGCAGUAGUGAAAAGACUAGUUGGAGAACAUGAGGAGCUAAUCAUCAAAAUAAGUUAUAGCCGGAUUGUUGCCUGAAACUCGGCAACAUGAAGAAGGAAUUUCGAGUAAUCGUUUGAUCACCAGCGCAACGGUGAAGACAUAAUUCGGGGUGAACUAACUGUCUGUCAAUUGGAAGAAGCUUUACAUACAGGAAGGUGUGAUAAAUGAACCAUUUUAGUAAGAAAUUAAUGUGUUAGAAUAAAAUUUUUUGUUCUAAGUUUUUAUUUAAAGUUCAGGAGUUGUAUCCAAUGUAUGAAAGUAACAUCUAAUAAGUUAACCGGAAUUAGUACCCGGAACUGGCUUAAAAACUAUCAAAAACGGGGGAACUCCUAAAUCUCGUGAGAGAAAGGACAAUCGCCGUGCUAAAUUCCGUGCCCGAUAGGGUGUCGAAGCUUAGGAAACUAAAGACGGAUAAAAGUGUAACGAGCAGAUGGUAGUCCUCUGGGCAAGCAUAAGUAAGCCCCAGUAAGGUGUGCUCUUAUUGCGUAGUAAUACGUAACUACUCGAAGUAACAGUAAAGUAGUUUUAAAUUAAUAACUGGGGGAGACCGUUUAUAUUAAAAACGGAGGACUCCUUAAUGCUAUCUGGUAAUCAUUCCAGUUAAACCCAGUUAGGCUGCAUAGCAAGGUAGCGGUACUGGAAAGUGCCGCUGUAUUAUACAAAUC
RNAcentral lists this ribosomal RNA (1989 nucleotides) under Rhizoctonia sp. RNAcentral's name for it is "small subunit ribosomal RNA". The stretch from base 1 to 1501 matches the Rfam family "Bacterial small subunit ribosomal RNA". Lineage: Eukaryota; Fungi; Basidiomycota; Agaricomycetes; Cantharellales; Ceratobasidiaceae. The record is from RNAcentral.